CCUACGGGAGGCAGCAGUGAGGAAUAUUGGUCAAUGGGCGCGAGCCUGAACCAGCCAAGUAGCGUGAAGGAUGACUGCCCUACGGGUUGUAAACUUCAUUUAUAAAGGAAUAAAGUGAGGCACGUGUGCCAUUUUGUAUGUACUUUAUGAGUAAGGAUCGGCUAACUCCGUGCCAGCAGCCGCGGUAAUACGGAGGGUCCGAGCGUUAUCCGGAUUGAUUGGGUUUAAAGGGAGCGUAGAUGGGGUGUUAAGUCAGUUGUGAAAGUGUGCGGCUCAACCGUAAAACUGCAAUUGAUACUGGCAGUCUAGAGUACAGGUGAGGUAGGCGGAAUUCGUGGUGUAGCGGUGAAAUGCUUAGAUAUCACGAAGAACUCCGAUUGCGAAGGCAGCUUACUAAACUGCCACUGACAUUGAUGCUCGAAAGUGUGGGUAUCAAACAGGAUUAGAUACCCUGGUAGUC
Molecule: ribosomal RNA, 460 nt
Filed under: uncultured bacterium
Lineage: Bacteria
Description: partial 16S ribosomal RNA
Rfam family: Bacterial small subunit ribosomal RNA
Source: RNAcentral